CCCACACCCGGCCCACAUGUGCUGGGCUGCUGAGAGCAUUGGUGUCCAGUCUCAUCCACACUCUCUUAGUCCCGCCCCCCAACUUCCCUCUCUCCCACACACCCACACACACACACACCCCCACACCCACACCCACACCCACACCCACACCCACACCCACACACACACACACACACACACACACACACACACACACACUCACCCACACAGUUUUAGGACAGGUGUGUCCUCUGUCUUCUCUAGAUCCGUCUUGACACUCUAAGGUGUGUGUGUGUGUGUGUGUGAGUGAGAGAGAAACAGAAACACAGAUGGAUCUGAUAUUCACAUCGCUCCUGUUCUAGCAGACAUGUAUCUCACCCAGAACACCAAAUGCUUAGAUGGCGCUAGUUGUUAGCUUUGUGUGUGUGUCGGUAAUGGUUAGGUUAGUUGAUGAGUGCACUCCCACCCCCUUAUGUAAUUAAACCAAAUAUCCAACACUAUGCAGUCACCUCAUGUCAUGUCACUAGGCAGCAGCGUCCCUGUCACCUCACCUCAUGUCGCUAAGCAACAGCGUCCCUGUCACCUCAUGUCGCUAGGCAGCAGCAUCCCUGUUACCUCAUGUCGCUAGGCAACAGCGUCCCUGUCACCUGAUGUCGCUAGGGAGCAGCAUCCCUGGGUUUUUCUGUUGCGGAUUAGCUGUGUGUCUUGGUCUGUGUCUGUGUGUGUGGUUGGCUGAAUCUUCUACCAUUAACCAUCUACCUUCAGCCUUCAGCAACACCUGACGUACAGGCAAGUUUAGGAGAAUAAAUUGAGGUGUGUGUGUGUAACAGAGAGCAUGAGCUGGAGAGAGGGGUGUGUGUGUGUAACAGAGCGUGAGGUGUAGAGGUGUGUAUUGUAUUGAAUGAGCUGGUUUAUAUUUAAGGAUUGUAUUUUGGGUGGGGGUUAGUUAUACGCUGUAAGUGUGUGUGUGUGUGUGUUUUGGGUGGGGGUGGGGGUUAGUUCUAUGCUGUGUGUGUGUUUUGGGUGGGGGUUAGUUCUACGCUGUAAGUGUGUGUGUUUUGGGUGGGGGUUAGUUCUACGCUGUGUGUGUGUGUGUGUGUGUGUGUGUGUGUGUGUGUGUUUGGGUGGGGUGGGGGGUUAGUUCUACGCUGUAAGUAUAUGAGCUGCAUGUUCUUGUCUUUCGUUUAACUGCCUCGGACCCCUGAGCUUGGGGUCUGGGGAACCACACAAAAGAAAAGUUUAUUUAUAUUUUUACAUCUUUUAUGAUAUUCUGUUCUGCUGAUUGUUUUUAUUUGUUUUUGUUUUUGUUUUUCCUCACUAUGCUUUCCCCAUUUAGACAGAGGGAAGAGGAAAAGACUUUUGAUGACUUGCUACGUUUUUGCUGUUUUAUUUCUCCUCUCUUUGUCCUGUUUUUUUUUUUCUUUCCCUGCUUUGGUUGCCGGGGAGGUAUCUAUGGAGGAGAAGCCCCUCCCCUCUCUGCUGCCACCUCUGUUUCCGUGGUGACGUCAGAACCAUUGAGAAGUCUGUCAGAAUAGUAUGCUGUUUCCGUGGUGACGUCAGAACCAUUGAGAAGUCUGUCAGAGCAGCAUGCUGUUUCCGUGGUGACAUCAGAACAGUGUGCUUUGCUUCCAACUCCC
Long non-coding RNA from Clupea harengus (Atlantic herring), 1616 nucleotides. Lineage: Eukaryota; Metazoa; Chordata; Actinopteri; Clupeiformes; Clupeidae. The record is from Ensembl.